GCUCACUUUGACAGUGCAUAUACUAAAAUUGGAACAAUAUAGGGAAGAUAGCAUGGCCCCUGUAGAAGGAUGACAUGCAAAUUGGUAAAGUGUUCCAUAUUUAA
Small nuclear RNA from Pipistrellus kuhlii (Kuhl's pipistrelle), 104 nucleotides. Lineage: Eukaryota; Metazoa; Chordata; Mammalia; Chiroptera; Vespertilionidae. The record is from RefSeq and is a predicted model, not a curated record.